RNAcentral lists this ribosomal RNA (442 nucleotides) under uncultured Polaribacter sp. RNAcentral describes it as "bacterial SSU rRNA". It matches the Rfam family "Bacterial small subunit ribosomal RNA", at positions 66 to 505 of the family's 1533-position model. The record is from RNAcentral. Lineage: Bacteria; Pseudomonadati; Bacteroidota; Flavobacteriia; Flavobacteriales; Flavobacteriaceae.
GGGGUAACAUUGUGCUUGCACAGAUGACGACCGGCGCACGGGUGCGUAACGCGUAUAGAACCUACCUUUUACAGAGGAAUAGCCUUUAGAAAUGAAGAUUAAUGCCUCAUGGUAUUGUAGACUGGCAUCAGUUUAUAAUUAAAGAUUUAUCGGUAAAAGAUGGCUAUGCGUCCUAUUAGUUAGUUGGUAAGGUAACGGCUUACCAAGACAGCGAUAGGUAGGGGUCCUGAGAGGGAGAUCCCCCACACUGGUACUGAGACACGGACCAGACUCCUACGGGAGGCAGCAGUGAGGAAUAUUGGACAAUGGAGGAGACUCUGAUCCAGCCAUGCCGCGUGUAGGAAGAAUGCCCUAUGGGUUGUAAACUACUUUUAUACAGGAAGAAACACUGGUAUGUAUACCAGCUUGACGGUACUGUAAGAAUAAGGACCGGCUAACUCCG